GGGUUGUGAGGUUAAGCGACUAAGCGUACACGGUGGAUGCCCUGGCAGUCAGAGGCGAUGAAGGACGUGCUAAUCUGCGAAAAGCGUCGGUAAGGUGAUAUGAACCGUUAUAGCCGGCGAUGUCCGAAUGGGGAAACCCAGUGCAAUUCGUUGCACUAUCGUUUGAUGAAUACAUAGUCAAACGAGGCGAACCGGGGGAACUGAAACAUCUAAGUACCCCGAGGAAAAGAAAUCAACCGAGAUUCCCCCAGUAGCGGCGAGCGAACGGGGAGCAGCCCGGAGUCUGAAUCAGCUUGUGUGUUAGUGGAAGCGUCUGGAAAGUCGCAGGGUACAGGGUGAUACUCCCGUACACUAAAACACACAGGUUGUGAACUCGAAGAGUAGGGCGGGACACGUGGUAUCCUGUCUGAAUAUGGGGGGACCAUCCUCCAAGGCUAAAUACUCCUGACUGACCGAUAGUGAACCAGUACCGUGAGGGAAAGGCGAAAAGAACCCCGGCGAGGGGAGUGAAAAAGAACCUGAAACCGUGUACGUACAAGCAGUAGGAGCCCACUUGUUGGGUGACUGCGUACCUUUUGUAUAAUGGGUCAGCGACUUAUAUUCUGUAGCAAGGUUAACCGUAUAGGGGAGCCGCAGGGAAACCGAGUCUUAACUGGGCGUUAAGUUGCAGGGUAUAGACCCGAAACCCGGUGAUCUAGCCAUGGGCAGGUUGAAGGUUGGGUAACACUAACUGGAGGACCGAACCGACUAAUGUUGAAAAAUUAGCGGAUGACUUGUGGCUGGGGGUGAAAGGCCAAUCAAACCGGGAGAUAGCUGGUUCUCCCCGAAAGCUAUUUAGGUAGCGCCUCGUGAACUCAUCUUCGGGGGUAGAGCACUGUUUCGGCUAGGGGGUCAUCCCGACUUACCAACCCGAUGCAAACUACGAAUACCGAAGAAUGUUAUCACGGGAGACACACGGCGGGUGCUAACGUCCGUCGUGAAGAGGGAAACAACCCAGACCGCCAGCUAAGGUCCCAAAGUCAUGGUUAAGUGGGAAACGAUGUGGGAAGGCCCAGACAGCCAGGAUGUUGGCUUAGAAGCAGCCAUCAUUUAAAGAAAGCGUAAUAGCUCACUGGUCGAGUCGGCCUGCGCGGAAGAUGUAACGGGGCUAAACCAUGCACCGAAGCUGCGGCAGCGACACUAUGUGUUGUUGGGUAGGGGAGCGUUCUGUAAGCCGUUGAAGGUGGCCUGUGAGGGUUGCUGGAGGUAUCAGAAGUGCGAAUGCUGACAUAAGUAACGAUAAUGCGGGUGAAAAACCCGCACGCCGGAAGACCAAGGGUUCCUGUCCAACGUUAAUCGGGGCAGGGUGAGUCGACCCCUAAGGCGAGGCCGAAAGGCGUAGUCGAUGGGAAACAGGUUAAUAUUCCUGUACUCGGUGUUACUGCGAAGGGGGGACGGAGAAGGCUAUGUUGGCCGGGCGACGGUUGUCCCGGUUUAAGCAUGUAGGCGGAUGUUCCAGGUAAAUCCGGAACGUCACUAACGCUGAGGUGUGAUGACGAGGCACUACGGUGCUGAAGUGACAAAUGCCCUGCUUCCAGGAAAAGCCUCUAAGCAUCAGGUAACAUCAAAUCGUACCCCAAACCGACACAGGUGGUCAGGUAGAGAAUACCAAGGCGCUUGAGAGAACUCGGGUGAAGGAACUAGGCAAAAUGGUGCCGUAACUUCGGGAGAAGGCACGCUGAUGGUAGGUGAAGUGACUUGCUCAUGGAGCUGAAAUCAGUCGAAGAUACCAGCUGGCUGCAACUGUUUAUUAAAAACACAGCACUGUGCAAACACGAAAGUGGACGUAUACGGUGUGACGCCUGCCCGGUGCCGGAAGGUUAAUUGAUGGGGUUAUCCGUAAGGAGAAGCUCUUGAUCGAAGCCCCGGUAAACGGCGGCCGUAACUAUAACGGUCCUAAGGUAGCGAAAUUCCUUGUCGGGUAAGUUCCGACCUGCACGAAUGGCGUAAUGAUGGCCAGGCUGUCUCCACCCGAGACUCAGUGAAAUUGAACUCGCUGUGAAGAUGCAGUGUACCCGCGGCAAGACGGAAAGACCCCGUGAACCUUUACUAUAGCUUGACACUGAACACUGGUCCUUGAUGUGUAGGAUAGGUGGGAGGCUUUGAAGUGUGGACGCCAGUCUGCAUGGAGCCAUCCUUGAAAUACCACCCUUUAAUGGCUGGUGUUCUAACGUGGGCCCCUGAUCGGGGUUGCGGACAGUGUCUGGUGGGUAGUUUGACUGGGGCGGUCUCCUCCUAAAGAGUAACGGAGGAGCACGAAGGUCAGCUAAUCCUGGUCGGACAUCAGGAGGUUAGUGCAAUGGCAUAAGCUGGCUUGACUGCGAGCGUGACGGCGCGAGCAGGUGCGAAAGCAGGUCAUAGUGAUCCGGUGGUUCUGAAUGGAAGGGCCAUCGCUCAACGGAUAAAAGGUACUCCGGGGAUAACAGGCUGAUACCGCCCAAGAGUUCAUAUCGACGGCGGUGUUUGGCACCUCGAUGUCGGCUCAUCACAUCCUGGGGCUGAAGUAGGUCCCAAGGGUAUGGCUGUUCGCCAUUUAAAGUGGUACGCGAGCUGGGUUUAGAACGUCGUGAGACAGUUCGGUCCCUAUCUGCCGUGGGCGCUGGAGAAUUGAGGGGGGCUGCUCCUAGUACGAGAGGACCGGAGUGGACGCAUCACUGGUGUUCGGGUUGUCAUGCCAAUGGCAUUGCCCGGUAGCUAAAUGCGGAAGAGAUAAGUGCUGAAAGCAUCUAAGCACGAAACUUGCCCCGAGAUGAGUUCUCCCUGACCCUUUAAGGGUCCUGAAGGAACGUUGAAGACGACGACGUUGAUAGGCCGGGUGUGUAAGCGCAGCGAUGCGUUGAGCUAACCGGUACUAAUGAACCGUGAGGCUUAACCUUACAACGCCGAAG
This 2927-nucleotide ribosomal RNA is filed under the name Klebsiella michiganensis. RNAcentral's name for it is "bacterial LSU rRNA". It matches the Rfam family "Bacterial large subunit ribosomal RNA". The record is from RNAcentral. Lineage: Bacteria; Pseudomonadati; Pseudomonadota; Gammaproteobacteria; Enterobacterales; Enterobacteriaceae.